Molecule: long non-coding RNA, 231 nt
Filed under: Carica papaya (papaya)
Lineage: Eukaryota; Viridiplantae; Streptophyta; Magnoliopsida; Brassicales; Caricaceae
Description: long non-coding RNA (CPAP_LNC006178)
Source: RNAcentral
GACAUGAAAGACAUCAUGCAGACCCAUGAAUUCUCGGGAUAGAGUGAGGUGGUAUGCCAUAGGUCCAAUGCACUCGAUGAUCGAAAAAGGUCCCACAUAACAAGGGCUCAACUUCUCUCUCUUUCUACACCGCAUCUUGCCUUUGUAGGGGUAGACUUUUAAAAAAACUUGAUCUCCCACAAUAAACUCCAAGGGUCACCUAUGAUUAUCGGCAUAACUCUUUUGGUGGCU